CCAGACUCCUACGGGAGGCAGCAGUGGGGAAUAUUGCACAAUGGGGGGAACCCUGAUGCAGCGACGCCGCGUGAGUGAAGAAGUAUUUCGGUAUGUAAAGCUCUAUCAGCAGGGAAGAAGAUGACGGUACCUGACUAAGAAGCCCCGGCUAACUACGUGCCAGCAGCCGCGGUAAUACGUAGGGGGCAAGCGUUAUCCGGAUUUACUGGGUGUAAAGGGAGCGUAGACGGCAGGGCAAGUCUGGAGUGAAAGCCCGGGGCCCAACCCCGGGACUGCUUUGGAAACUGCCAUGCUGUAGUGCUGGAGAGGUAAGCGGAAUUCCUAGUGUAGCGGUGAAAUGCGUAGAUAUUAGGAGGAACACCAGUGGCGAAGGCGGCUUACUGGACAGUAACUGACGUUGAGGCUCGAAAGCGUGGGGAGCAAACAGGAUUAGAUACCCUCGUA
RNAcentral lists this ribosomal RNA (444 nucleotides) under uncultured bacterium. RNAcentral describes it as "bacterial SSU rRNA". It matches the Rfam family "Bacterial small subunit ribosomal RNA", at positions 331 to 792 of the family's 1533-position model. The record is from RNAcentral.